RNAcentral lists this ribosomal RNA (466 nucleotides) under uncultured bacterium. RNAcentral's name for it is "partial 16S ribosomal RNA". It matches the Rfam family "Bacterial small subunit ribosomal RNA", at positions 28 to 507 of the family's 1533-position model. The record is from RNAcentral.
GAUGAACGCUGGCGGCGUGCUUAACACAUGCAAGUCGAACGAUGAAGCCCAGCUUGCUGGGUGGAUUAGUGGCGAACGGGUGAGUAACACGUGAGUAACCUGCCCUUAACUCUGGGAUAAGCCUGGGAAACUGGGUCUAAUACCGUAUAGGAGCGUCCACCGCAUGGUGGGUGUUGGAAAGAUUUAUCGGUUUUGGAUGGACUCGCGGCCUAUCAGCUUGUUGGUGAGGUAAUGGCUCACCAAGGCGACGACGGGUAGCCGGCCUGAGAGGGUGACCGGCCACACUGGGACUGAGAGACGGCCCAGAGUCCUACGGGAGGCAGCAGUGGGGAAUAUUGCACAAUGGGCGCAAGCCUGAUGCAGCGACGCCGCGUGAGGGAUGAAGGCCUUCGGGUUGUAAACCUCUUUCAGUAGGGAAGAAGCGAAAGUGACGGUACCUGCAGAAGAAGCACCGGCUAACUACGUG